AUACUCCCUAGUGCAACACAAUAGCCACGACAAAGGGCCAUGCUACCAUUUACCAUGACGAACCAUCCCGUUCCCACCAUCAUGGUCAGAUAUAUAAUCUCCCGGCAGCCAAAUGCAACAGGUAAAUAUUACUUGUCCAGCAUUGUGUAAGAUGGCAGGUCCUUCACCGCCAGUACAUCCUCUAAAACUAGCUCACGCUCCAACUGAGUUCUCGUGGAUUUCAUCACCUCCUGGAGCAAACAAACAGUAUUGCAACUGAUUACAAAUAAAGAAGGAUGAAAAGGCUAUGCACGUUUUAGCACCAUGUCGGAAAGCUUACAUUGAACUCCAUAUAAGAUGCACGUUUUACAAGCCACUGAGCAUCAAGCAUCCGGAAGGCUAUGCAGUACAGGUGAUCAAAUGCAUUCUCAUCUCGUCCUAGUAGUUCCAGGAAACGAAUUCCUGACUUUGAAGAUGGAACGUCUGCAUAAAUUGAGGAACACAAACCGAGAAUUAGGAACGAGACCAUUAUAGUGUAAAGACUUAGCGAAAUGGGGAAUUACUUGAUUGUAGAUCCAACAUCUGUAUCAGCAUGAAUGAAAUGUUGAUACCAGCAACUGCAAAAGGGUACUCCCAAUCUGCUCUCUGCCCUUGUACUUUAUUGAGAAGCAUCUGAAAGGAACCCUGAGACAGAACAGAUGUGAUAAUUUACACAAAGUAAAACAAAGUAUAACCAGCAGUUUUAUCAUACAUAAGUCAGCAGGUGUUUACAGGGUAGGUCCUAGCGAAAAAGAUGAGGUUCUCCAGCGAUAUGAAUCCACCACCCCUGCAUGGAGGCUAUCUGUAUUAGAUGGCUUUAUCAACUGAGUAAACCACACCAGACAGAAGCAUAGCUUCACACUUUGAUAUUCAAGAAUAGAGAACCUGAAAUCAGUUGAUGGAUCAGUGCCUUGCCAACCCAUCUCCUUCCAUAGUUCUGAUUUUAGCGGAGGGAUCUCACGACUUGGGUAAGCUAACUUCCAAAGUUGUCUCAAAGCGUCCUAAUAAAAUGAUGCAGAUCAAUUGCUUUGCAUGCAUGAGUAGAUGUUUGUGGGGAAAGAAUUAAAACAAGUUGCGUACUUGGUGCUCAAUACGGGAGCCGUCAAAAGGGAUUUUCAACCUGCGUCUUAAAUUAUCCAAUCUUUCUUCCUGCAAAAUGAAGUUUCAGAACUUAAACCAAUUCUUGCAUGCCUAGUAUACAUCUUUCCUCUAUGCAUUACCUGCAAAGGACUAAGAUAUACUGGAUCACUGGUUUGGUUAUCUGACGCAAAGGGGAACAGUCUGCCCAAAAUUGACCCCGAGCUUACAAUAAUAUUGGCUGCAAAUAAAAUGGCAAAAGGAAGAAAAGAAUAUCAAUGUUAUUGAAAGAAAUAAGAUUACAGUAUGAACAAAGUACACAACUAUAACCUGGGAAUUUAACAGGAAAGCAAGCUUAGUAAGGAGUAAGGACUUCAAGGAAAACAUUGCUAUGAAUUAAUACAGUAAAGGAUCUGUCAUAGCUUACCUAAUUUAAAAGACUAGCUAAAUACCUCUGCUUUGCUUUGGAUAAAACAAUUAAACUACUCGUUAUUAAUAAAUUAGACUAAAAACUACUAUUAUGUAUUAGUGUUAACUACUACUCCCUCUGAUCCUAAAUUCUUGACUUAAAUUUGUCCAAAUAUGGAUGUAUCUGUUCUUAAAAUGCGUCUAUACAUGUAAUAUUUCGACAAUAAUUUAGGAUCGGAGGGAGUAAUAAUUUUAUCUAAAUUUGGUGACAAACAUCAUUACCAUCUCAGUCUUUUGCAAUAUAAUUAUUUUUUGCACUAGAAGCAGGUGGGAAGUUUCUUUUAUAGUACAAAGGAGGUGACAGACCACCGCCACCGACUGAUUUUUAGUAGAAGUAAAGAUUGUUUCUCAUUUUGAUGACAAAUCUUCUGCUUAAUGAACUUUGCAGAGUGUUUUGCUGGCUUUCUGAAAAUGAUGACAAUAAUGAAAAACAAGCGGACUACUAUGGUACUGUGAGCAGCUGCAUAAAUCCUUCCUUUACUUCUUUGCUUCUCAGUAUUUGAAGCAGGUUGCAGAUUUGUAAAAAAAAAACCCGUGAAAUCAGUAGGUUAGAUACCCUGACAGCCAGUGUUAUUCCAAACCAAAGAGUGUGAGGUUGUAUAAGCCAGUAAUGCACACAUGGGAAAUAUAUGCAUGAGUAUAGACAUUUGGCAUAUUAAAAUUGAAUAGGUAUCAGUGGGUAACAGGCUACCUAUUUGUACAAAGUACUUACUGAAUCUAUAUUUAGCAAAGCCCAAUACACAACUCCCAUAACAGGUGCUAGACAAUCUUAAACUAAAUACAGUAUAGAUAAUGUUAAGUGUGAAGAAUUACAAAAGUUAUGCAUCAAUGUGGUGGGUAGUGUGAACAGUACCUAACCACUGUGCCCAUUGCGCAAUCAAACUUGAGAAAAGGAAUGACCAGUGUAGUUGUUCCUUCUUUCUAUCUUCAUCCCACAAAUCUUGCCUUCUGGGGUCAUAUACCUUCAGGAAGUAAGACGAUGUGUAAAAAUCUGCAUCCACUGUAAGAAUAGUUGAUGAAAUAUGAUCAGAAAAUACGAACCUCUGAUCCACCGUUGUCAUAGCUAGAAUUCCCUAAUAGAGGUUCAUCGAGGGAAUCUACAUGGGAUAUGUCAACAUGUUCAUUCUUCCUUCCAUCGACAUCUGCAUGAUGGAGCCGCCGCCUCAGAUUGCUUGUUGACAUGAGGUCCUGUGCCAGAGAGAGUCAGAACAGCAGCAAGAAGACAGGACGAAAUCAACAUCUUAGCACCGUGCCAAGCCGCCGACGCAACAAUAUAGAGCAGUCAGCAGCUCAAGUGCAAUGCAACUAUUCAUUCGUAGAGUUGUUGUUUCUUAAUCACCAGAGUUAUGAUCUCGCAAGAGUAAUACUCGUACUAUAAAAUAGAGUUAUGGUUAUGUGAAGUAAAUAAAGACAAUGAAUUUUCACCUGUGGUGCAGAAAUAAUAAAUUUUCGAGUCCUGUGAGAUUUGAUUAGUGCUAAUAUUGGAACAGAAGCAAGCAACUAAGAUCAUCCCCAACAGAUAUCAAUCACAUGCACCUUAAUUUACCCUUCCACAAUGCAGCGCUCCCGAUAGGUUCCUACCCUCCCCACUAACUUGAAAACCCUAGCCCCUCUACGAUUUGACAAAACUCACCGAAGCAUGUUCGACUUCUUCUGGAUUUCACGAGUCGAGGAAAUUAGUAAGGCGGUAGGAAUAAUCGAGCUCACGUACCGAGGGGUCCUGGUCCUGGUUGGUUCCGGAGGUAUUCCGGGAUCCGGCGAUUGGGAAGCGGAUGAAUAAGGGAAGAAGAAGCUGCCUUCCGUCGCGGGGAGACUUCAGAGUGUGGAGGAGGGGAUUCUGACUCGAAGCUUUAAGAAGCAGGGAGGAGAGAGGGGGUUUGGACUUCGGAGGAGGAGGGGAAGACAGCUGGGGAAAGAGCUGCCGGAAGGAGGCUUGGAUCCGAAGGAAUGACUCGGCAGCUUCUCCUCUUUUCUUUUUCUUGACGCGGCUACUUUGCUGCUACGGUAGUACGGUACUACGGGGAAGACGCCCGUUGAGUUUGGGCCGGAUAGACCUUAAAGCUCUAAGUGGGCUAGAGGAUAAUUAUACUGGGCUCUUUAAAUGGGCUAGACAUGGAAUUGUCGACGUGACAAAUAAAGAAAAACCAAGUAAAAUUCUACAGGCCCAGAACUAACAGUGGCGCUGUAUCGGAGAACAGAACGACGCGUACGCGUACAGCAAAGCUCAACAGGUAAAUAUUACUUGUCCAGCAUUGUGUAAGAUGGCAGGUCCUUCACCGCCAGUACAUCCUCUAAAACUAGCUCACGCUCCAACUGAGUUCUCGUGGAUUUCAUCACCUCCUGGAGCAAACAAACAGUAUUGCAAC
RNAcentral lists this long non-coding RNA (3929 nucleotides) under Brachypodium distachyon (stiff brome). Its description in RNAcentral is "long non-coding RNA (BDIS_LNC001314)". The record is from RNAcentral. Lineage: Eukaryota; Viridiplantae; Streptophyta; Magnoliopsida; Poales; Poaceae.